GUAACAUGUUCAGCUGAUGUGUACUAAUAGGUCGAGGGCUUGUCCAA
This 47-nucleotide ribosomal RNA is filed under the name Butyrivibrio sp. ob235. Its description in RNAcentral is "23S rRNA. Bacterial LSU". Lineage: Bacteria; Bacillati; Bacillota; Clostridia; Lachnospirales; Lachnospiraceae. The record is from RNAcentral.